RNAcentral lists this ribosomal RNA (292 nucleotides) under uncultured bacterium. RNAcentral describes it as "partial 16S ribosomal RNA". It matches the Rfam family "Bacterial small subunit ribosomal RNA", at positions 505 to 796 of the family's 1533-position model. The record is from RNAcentral.
GUGUCAGCCGCCGCGGUAAGACGAACCGAGCGAACGUUGUUCGGAAUCACUGGGCUUAAAGGGCGCGUAGGCGGGCGACUAAGUCUGUUGUGAAAUCCUCCAGCUCAACUGGAGAACUGCAAUGGAUACUGGUCGUCUCGAGGAAGGUAGGGGCAUGUGGAACUAUCGGUGGAGCGGUGAAAUGCGUUGAUAUCGAUAGGAACUCCGGUGGCGAAGGCGACAUGCUGGACCUUUUCUGACGCUGAGGCGCGAAAGCCAGGGGAGCAAACGGGAUUAGAAACCCUCGUAGUCC